CGGCUUAACCUGGUUGAUCCUGCCAGUAGUCAUAUGCUUGUCUCAGAGAUUAAGCCAUGCAUGUCUAAGUACAGACCUUCAUACGGUGAAACCGCGAAUGGCUCAUUAAAUCAGCUAUGGUUCCUUUGGUCAUACAUACUACAUGGAUAACUGUAGUAAUUCUAGAGCUAAUACAUGCCACUAUGCCCUGACCCUUCCGGGAACGGGUGGAUUUAUUAGAACAGAACCAAUACAGCUCCGGCUGUUUAUUCUGUGAUGACUCUGGAUAACUUACCUGAUCGCAGUCGGCCUUGCGUCGGCGACGGAUCUUUCAAAUGGCUGCCCUAUCAAUUGUCGAUGGUAGGUGACCUGCCUACCAUAUUAACGGGUAACGGGGAAUCAGGGUUCGAUUCCGGAGAGGGAGCCUGAGAAACGGCUACCACAUCCAAGGAAGGCAGCAGGCGCGCAAAUUACCCAAUCCCGGUACGGGGAGGUAGUGACGAAAAAUACGGAGACGGGACUCUCUAUGGGCCUCCGACAUCCGAGUGAGUACAUUUUAAUCCUUUAACGAGGAUCAACUGGAAGGGCAGUCUGGUGCCACCAGCCGCGGUA
RNAcentral lists this ribosomal RNA (591 nucleotides) under Didymozoidae sp. SP-2005. RNAcentral describes it as "bacterial SSU rRNA". It matches the Rfam family "Eukaryotic small subunit ribosomal RNA", at positions 1 to 581 of the family's 1831-position model. The record is from RNAcentral. Lineage: Eukaryota; Metazoa; Platyhelminthes; Trematoda; Azygiida; Didymozoidae.